CCCCCAAGGCCUAGCUCAAGUGGCAAAAGGUGGAGGAUUUGUGGCUUAGGUCGCAGGUUCAAGCCCCACACCAUGCAAAGCGAUGCUCGGUAUUUAAGUGGAUCCCAAGGCUUAGCUCUAGUGGAAAAAGGUGGAGGAUUUGUGGCUUAGGUCGCAGGUUCAAGCCCCACACCAUGCAAAGCGAUGCCCGGUAUUUAAGUGGAUCCCAAGGCUUAGCUCUAGUGGAAAAAGGUGGAGGAUUUGUGGCUUAGGUCGCAGGUUCAAGCCCCACACCAUGCAAAGCGAUGCCCGGUAUUUAAGUGGAUCCCAAGGCUUAGCUCUAGUGGAAAAAGGUGGAGGAUUUGUGGCUUAGGUCGCAGGUUCAAGCCCCACACCAUGCAAAGCGAUGCCCGGUAUUUAAGUGGAUCCCAAGGCUUAGCUCUAGUGGAAAAAGGUGGAGGAUUUGUGGCUUAGGUCGCAGGUUCAAGCCCCACACCAUGCAAAGCGAAGCCUGGUAUUUAAGUGGAGAAGAGUAGAGGGGCGGGCCCAUUAUCCACCGAGUUUAGAAGGCUAUGAUUGGUCCAAA
RNAcentral lists this long non-coding RNA (565 nucleotides) under Solanum tuberosum (potato). Its description in RNAcentral is "long non-coding RNA (STUB_LNC002049)". Lineage: Eukaryota; Viridiplantae; Streptophyta; Magnoliopsida; Solanales; Solanaceae. The record is from RNAcentral.